AACGCUAGCUACAGGCUUAACACAUGCAAGUCGAGGGGCAGCAUGGAACUUAGCUUGCUAAGUUCUGAUGGCGACCGGCGCACGGGUGCGUAACGCGUAUCCAACCUUCCCGUUACUCAGGGAUAGCCUUCCGAAAGGGAGAUUAAUACCUGAUGGUGUUUGAAUUCCGCAUGUCAUUCAAACUAAAGAUUUAUCGGUAACGGAUGGGGAUGCGUGACAUUAGAUAGUAGGCGGGGUAACGGCCCACCUAGUCUACGAUGUCUAGGGGUUCUGAGAGGAAGGUCCCCCACACUGGAACUGAGACACGGUCCAGACUCCUACGGGAGGCAGCAGUGAGGAAUAUUGGUCAAUGGUCGGAAGACUGAACCAGCCAAGUAGCGUGAAGGAUGAAGGUUCUAUGGAUUGUAAACUUCUUUUAUACGGGAAUAAAACCUCCCACGUGUGGGAGCUUGUAUGUACCGUAUGAAUAAGCAUCGGCUAACUCCGUGCCAGCAGCCGCGGUAAUACGGAAGGUCCGGGCGUUAUCCGGAUUUAUUGGGUUUAAAGGGAGCGUAGGCCGGAGAUUAAGCGUGUUGUGAAAUGUAGACGCUCAACGUCUGCACUGCAGCGCGAACUGGUUUCCUUGAGUACGCACAAAGUGGGCGGAAUUCGUGGUGUAGCGGUGAAAUGCUUAGAUAUCACGAAGAACUCCGAUUG
This 696-nucleotide ribosomal RNA is filed under the name uncultured bacterium. RNAcentral describes it as "bacterial SSU rRNA". It matches the Rfam family "Bacterial small subunit ribosomal RNA", at positions 32 to 715 of the family's 1533-position model. The record is from RNAcentral.